Molecule: long non-coding RNA, 291 nt
Filed under: Solanum tuberosum (potato)
Lineage: Eukaryota; Viridiplantae; Streptophyta; Magnoliopsida; Solanales; Solanaceae
Description: long non-coding RNA (STUB_LNC011719)
Source: RNAcentral
CUAACUCCAAAUAAAUCGUAACAUACCUUAAUCGAAGAACUACUUGAACAACCAAACUAAAAAUCCGGAUAAGUAUAAUACACACAUGUUGUCCCACCAAGAUAACAAUUCUAGGGUAAAAACCCAUAAAUUCCCAUGAAAAUCAUACCCUUCGAUUUUAGAAAGGAAAUCAAAUUAGAGAUAGGAAAAAUAGAAGAAAAGCACUUGUCGUAAGAGAGAAAAAAUUCCAAGUCAUGUAAAAGUCGUCUAUGGGGUUCUCUUGUCGAAUAUUAUAUUCUGACUAAGAAUGAG